GUAAAGGAAUGCUGGCAGAACAAAUACUACGUUCCCAAUAGCACUUUGUUUUAUUGUUCCUCUUAUAUUAUUUAUGUUUGCCCAGCAGCCUGAAUAAUCAGCAGGCUGCCUCCUCCCCCUGACCGCGGUAACCGCGGCUUUUACGCUCGGCUGAUUUUUCCCAGCCGUUUGCCGAGGCAGCGGAAGCGGAGGGUAAAGAUGGGUUUGGUGCUCGGAGGCCCUUCCUCCCUGCCGCUGUACCAUCGUGCGCUUAUUUUCGCAGCUUAUGGAGCUGGCGAGGGGCGUGGGGGGGUGUCCAGCCGGGGUUUCAGCAGCUGCCGUGCAGUACAGGGAGCGGUCGCGGCGACCGUGGGAACUCGGACGGUCAUUGACGCGCUGGUGUGACACAGUGACGGGCGAUGACUGUGGGGCCCAAGUUGGUAGGAAAGAAGCAUUUUUAUUGUUUGUUACUGUCGGCGUGGAAGAGCAACAGAUGGCGCAGUGGUUACAGCUGCAGUCUUGGUCUCGGAAGACUCGGGUUCCGAUCUCGCCUCCUGUUCUAGGACCCUGGAUUGAGGUACUUACCCUGAACUGAUACAGUAAAAAUUACCCAGCUCUUUAAAUGGGGAAAUCAGUGUAAUUUGCCUAGUGUGGCCCUGGAGAAUGGUGUAAAUGACUAAUGUUAAUAGCACCAAUGUUUGCACUCUGCAUGUGUGUGUGUACGUGCUAACGUGGAGGAGUCCUGCGCAGGACCGUGGUAUUGGACAGUGAGACUUGGGGGGAAAACAAAAGUGUCCCCUGCAGGUGUGUGUUCCUGUGUUGGGCUGCAGGUGAAGCCCCACAGACAUGUUGGCAGGUUGAGUGCCGCCAGGAGGGCAAACAGAUUGAGCGUGUGUGUGUGUGUGUGUGUGUGUGUACUCGCCUCCCCUCACACACCUACCCGACACACCCUAAUGUGUUAAACAGCAGUCACCUCACACACAGCGUGUGUAAAAAUAGCGUCGCUCACACUGCCAGGUGGCUUCAGCGGUAAACAAGCC
RNAcentral lists this long non-coding RNA (1019 nucleotides) under Scleropages formosus (Asian bonytongue). RNAcentral's name for it is "lncRNA (ENSSFOG00015027496.1)". Lineage: Eukaryota; Metazoa; Chordata; Actinopteri; Osteoglossiformes; Osteoglossidae. The record is from RNAcentral.